GAUGAACGCUGGCGGCGUGCCUAAUACAUGCAAGUCGAGCGAACGGACGAGAAGCUUGCUUCUCUGAUGUUAGCGGCGGACGGGUGAGUAACACGUGGAUAACCUACCUAUAAGACUGGGAUAACUUCGGGAAACCGGAGCUGAUACCGGAUGAUAUUUUGAACCGCAUGGUUCAAAAGUGAAAGACGGUCUUGCUGUCACUUAUAGAUGGAUCCGCGCUGCAUUAGCUAGUUGGUAAGGUAACGGCUUACCAAGGCAACGAUGCAUAGCCGACCUGAGAGGGUGAUCGGCCACACUGGAACUGAGACACGGUCCAGACUCCUACGGGAGGCAGCAGUAGGGAAUCUUCCGCAAUGGGCGAAAGCCUGACGGAGCAACGCCGCGUGAGUGAUGAAGGUCUUCGGAUCGUAAAACUCUGUUAUUAGGGAAGAACAUAUGUGUAAGUAACUGUGCACAUCUUGACGGUACCUAAUCAGAAAUCCACGGCUAACUACGUG
Molecule: ribosomal RNA, 497 nt
Filed under: uncultured bacterium
Lineage: Bacteria
Description: partial 16S ribosomal RNA
Rfam family: Bacterial small subunit ribosomal RNA
Source: RNAcentral